Molecule: long non-coding RNA, 439 nt
Filed under: Salmo salar (Atlantic salmon)
Lineage: Eukaryota; Metazoa; Chordata; Actinopteri; Salmoniformes; Salmonidae
Description: lncRNA (ENSSSAG00000106474.1)
Source: RNAcentral
AUUUGAAUGCUGACGAUGCCGCACAGAUGUGCAAGAUCAGGAACAGGCCGCCAACCUUGCGAUGGUCAGCGCGUGAUGCUAGAAAGGUGUGCUGGAGUCAGAGCAGAUCCAUACCAGCUGCAACUCAUCCAUAAAUCAAGACUUCUACAUAUACCCAUUCCUGCCAACUUCCACUCUGCCAGAUCGUAAUCUCUGCUCAUACCGCUCUGUCUCUGGCUCCUGUCUACUGUUCCACAUCUCACCACCAACCACCUUGCUCUGGAUUUUACUCCCCACCAUUACCUUGGAUUCCCCUCAGGACCUGUUUCCCUGUUCUGCUCAGGCAACUCCAAACUCACUCUACACUCCUGUUUUUUUUUUUGCGCUCAUCUGAGCUACCCCGGUUCUGCACUUCAUAUUUCUCUGUGUUCAAUAAACAUUUUGGUGCAUUCCUCCCGGC